CCUACGGGUGGCUGCAGUAGGGAAUCUUGCUCAAUGGGGGAAACCCUGACGCAGCAACGCCGCGUGGGGGAUGAAGGUUUUCGGAUUGUACACUCCUUUUGUUAGAGAAGAUAAUGACGGUAUCUAACGAAUAAGCACCUGCUAACUCCGUGCCAGCAGCCGCGGUCAUACGGAGGGUGAGAGCGUUACGCGGAAUCACUGGGCGUAAAGAGCGCGUAGGCGGUUUAGCAAGUCAGAUGUGAAAGCCUAUGGCUUAACCAUAGAACUGCAUUUGAAACUGUUAUUCUAGAGUAUGGAAGAGGGAGGUGGAAUUCUUGGUGUAGGGGUAAAAUCCGCAGAGAUAUAGAGGAACACUCAUUGCGAAGGCGACCUGCUAGAACAUAACUGACGCUGAUGCGCGAAAGCGUGGGGAGCAAACAGGAUUAGAUACCCCUGUAGUC
This 440-nucleotide ribosomal RNA is filed under the name uncultured bacterium. RNAcentral describes it as "partial 16S ribosomal RNA". It matches the Rfam family "Bacterial small subunit ribosomal RNA", at positions 338 to 795 of the family's 1533-position model. The record is from RNAcentral.